UACGUAGGGUGCGAGCGUUAAUCGGAAUUACUGGGCGUAAAGCGUGCGCAGCGGGGAUGUAAGACAGAUGUGAAAUCCCCGGGCUCAACCUGGGAACUGCAUUUGUGACUGCAUCGCUGGAGUGCGGCAGAGGGGGAUGGAAUUUCGCGUGUAGCAGUGAAAUGCGUAGAUAUGCGGAGGAACACCGAUGGCGAAGGCAAUCCCCUGGGCCUGCACUGACGCUCAUGCACGAAAGCGUGGGGAGCAAACAGG
Molecule: ribosomal RNA, 252 nt
Filed under: uncultured bacterium
Lineage: Bacteria
Description: partial 16S ribosomal RNA
Rfam family: Bacterial small subunit ribosomal RNA
Source: RNAcentral